Molecule: non-coding RNA, 4051 nt
Organism: Saimiri boliviensis boliviensis (Bolivian squirrel monkey)
Lineage: Eukaryota; Metazoa; Chordata; Mammalia; Primates; Cebidae
Source: RefSeq, a predicted model, not a curated record
GAUCCGGCUAGAGGGGAGGCUCCGACGUUUCCUUCCUUCCUGGUUCCUGCAGCAACUGCUGCCACUGCUCAGCUCCGUGAGGAGGGAGCCGGUGACUCGGAGCCGGUGACUCAGAAGCAGAGCGGCGUGAGGGCCAAGGAGCACUGGCGUCCAUGGACCCUGGGGGAGUAGCCUCUCCCUUCUCCAUGGACUUCCAAGACAGGGGCUCUCCCUUCCUGCCUGAGAGCGCUCAGUCCACAAAGCCCAGCAGUGCUCAGCAGGCCUCUGAGCUGUGGGAGGUGGUGGAGGAGCCUCAGGGCAGGCUGGGGACAGAGGGUGUCAUGCCUGAGAGGCAGGAGGGCCACCUGCUCAAGAAGAGGAAGUGGCCUCUGAAGGGCUGGCACAAGAGAUACUUUGUGCUCGAGGACGGGAUUCUUCACUAUGCAACAACCCGGCAAGAUAUCACCAAGGGGAAGCUUCAUGGCUCCAUCGAUGUCCGGCUGUCGGUCAUGUCCAUCAACAAAAAGGCCCAACGCAUUGACCUUGACACUGAAGAUAACAUCUACCACCUCAAGCCCUCGCCUGCUCCAUCACUUCUGCAGAUCAAAUCCCAGGACCUAUUCCAGAGCUGGGUGGCCCAGCUGCGUGCCCACCGCCUGGCCCACCGACUGGACAUGCCCCGUAGCACACUGCCCAGUACCACUCACCGGAAGGUUCCUGGUGCCCAGCUUCCAACAGCAGCUAGUGCCUCAGCCCUACCUGGGCUUGGACCGAGAGAGAAGGUGUCUUCCUGGCUGAGGGACAGUGACGGGCUGGACCGCUGCUCUCAUGAGCUCUCUGAGUGUCAGGGGAAGCUCCAGGAACUACACAGGCUCCUCCAGAGCCUGGAGUCCCUGCACCGAAUCCCUUCAGCCCCUGUUAUCCCCACACACCAGGCCUCAGUGACAACCGAAAGACCCAAGAAGGGGAAACGGACCAGCCGCAUGUGGUGCACCCAGAGUUUUGCCAAGGAUGACACCAUUGGACGGGUUGGUCGUCUCCACGGCUCUGUUCCCAACCUGUCUCGCUACUUGGAGUCUCGGGACUCCUCGGGCACCCGUGGGCUGCCACCCACAGACUACGCCCACCUUCAGCGCAGCUUCUGGGCCCUGGCUCAGAAGGUGCACAGCUCCCUCAGCAGCGUCCUGGCCGCCCUUACCACUGAACGGGACCGACUAAGGGACAUGCACCAGGGCUCAGAGUUGUCAAGGAUGGGGGUCUCCGAGGUCCCCACUAGCCAGCGGCGCCUCCACUCACUGUCCACCUCCUCCGACACCACAGCAGACUCUUUCAGCUCCCUCAACCCUGAGGAGCAAGAAGCUCUGUACAUGAAGGGGCGCGAGCUCACCCCGCAGCUGUCACAGAGCAGCAUCCUGUCCCUUGCUGAUUCCCACACGGAGUUCUUCGAUGCCUGUGAGGUUCUCCUCUCCGCCAGCUCUUCUGAGAAUGAGGGCUCAGAAGAGGAGGAGUCGUGCACCAGUGAAAUCACCACUAGCCUGUCUGAGGAGGUGCUGGAUCUCAGGGGAGCUGAGCGCUGUCAGAAAGUGGGGUGUGUUCCAGGAAGACCCAUGGGGCCACCCCGCCGUCGCUGCCUGCCUGCGGCCAGUGGGCCUGGGGCUGACGUGAGCCUGUGGAACAUUCUGCGCAACAACAUCGGCAAAGACCUGUCCAAGGUGUCCAUGCCUGUGCAGCUCAAUGAGCCACUCAACACGCUGCAGCGGCUCUGCGAGGAGCUGGAGUACAGCAGCCUCCUGGACCAGGCCAGCCGCAUCGCUGACCCCUGCGAGCGCAUGGUGUACAUCGCAGCCUUUGCUGUCUCAGCCUACUCCUCCACAUACCACCGAGCCGGCUGCAAGCCCUUCAACCCCGUCCUGGGGGAGACCUACGAGUGUGAACGGCCUGACCGAGGCUUCCGCUUCAUCAGCGAGCAGGUCUCCCACCACCCCCCUAUCUCGGCCUGCCAUGCGGAGUCUGAGAACUUCACCUUCUGGCAAGACAUGAAGUGGAAGAACAAGUUCUGGGGCAAAUCCCUGGAGAUUGUGCCUGUGGGGACAGUCAACGUCAGCCUGCCCAGGUUUGGGGACCACUUUGAGUGGAACAAGGUGACGUCCUGCAUUCACAACGUCCUGAGCGGCCAGCGCUGGAUCGAGCACUAUGGGGAGGUGCUCAUCCGAAACACACAGGACAGCUCCUGCCACUGCAAGAUCACCUUCUGCAAGGCCAAGUACUGGAGUUCCAAUGUCCACGAGGUGCAGGGUGCUGUGCUCAGUCGGAGCGGCCGUGUCCUCCACCGACUCUUUGGGAAGUGGCACGAGGGGCUGUACCGGGGACCCACACCGGGCGGCCAGUGCAUCUGGAAACCCACCCCUUGCCUUCCCCCAGACUCAAUGCCCCCUGACCAUGAGCGAAACUUCGGCUUCACCCAGUUUGCCCUGGAACUGAAUGAGCUGACAGCAGAGCUGAAACGGUCGCUGCCUUCCACUGACACGAGGCUCCGGCCAGACCAGAGGUACCUGGAGGAGGGGAACAUACAGGCCGCUGAGGCCCAGAAGAGAAGGAUCGAGCAGCUGCAGCGGGACAGGCGCAAAGUCAUGGAGGAGAACAACAUCGUCCACCAGGCUCGCUUCUUCAGGCGGCAAACAGACAGCAGUGGGAAGGAAUGGUGGGUGACCAACAAUACCUACUGGAGGCUGCGGGCCGAGCCAGGCUACGGGAACAUGGAUGGGGCCGUGCUCUGGUAGCCCUGGCCCCGGGGGCAGGAGGCUCUGGUUACUCGCUACUCCUGCCUCCUCCCCCUACCACGGACACAUGGGUGAGGCCAGGCUCCCCCCCUCACUGCCCUUGAGACCAAAGGGGCAGCCCUGGCCCUCUCUCCCCUCUGCUGGCCAGAGGGGCUGCAUCUCAGCCCACCCCGCACCCCACUGUUUGGGGUGAGAAGCAGAAUCUAUCUUCCCCAAUCUCCUUGCCCCAAUCAGCAUGUGAGACCAUUCCUGCUUCACCAUUUCCCUUCCUGUCCCCUUUGGGGUGCUUGGGGAAGACUCCAGCUCCCAGGAUCUGUUCCCCAUUUCAGUGCCUUCCUAGGAUGCAGGGGACCUCUUGAUGCUCCCCAGGCUUUCUGUGCCCAGGGCGCGUCCCCGGCAGUGAGGUUGCAGUGAGUGAAGGAGAGGAGAUGUUCUCCCCUCCCCUUCCCUUGCCCAUCUCCAGCAUCUGCUUCCCCUUCCCUGGCCCCGCAGGGCCUUCUCCAGCUCCUUUUGGUUGGUCCCUGGCCAUCCCUCCUGUCCUGGAUCCCUUCUCCCUAACUGCAAAAUGCCUCCAGCUUCCAGAUCCUUCAUCCCUGAUCCUCAAGUGGUUCCCUCCUGUCUCAGCUCAGCGGAUUCCCCCAGAGUGGAGGAGGCCUCUCCAUGAGGAGGGGAGCAGCCCGAGGUACCUGGCCUCCGACCCACCGGCAGCGAGUGCGCAGGUGUGAGUUCUGCCUCUGAUGAGGGUGAAUUGCUAUGACAUUCCAAGCUCCAAUAAAGACUGUCCCAGACUUUGGCCUGUGACCAUUCAUUGAGUGAAAAACACAUGUGCUCAAGACGUACGCAAGGGAAGACAAGCGUGUGAAACAGACACACGGGAGUUGGCCACGUGGAGACGUAGGCAGAGACGGGAGUGAGGCGUCUGCGAGCCGGGAGUGCCAGGGCUGCUGGCAGCCGCCUGAAGCUUGGAGAGAGGCGGAGAGAGAUUCUCCCACUGAGCCUCAAGGAGGAGCCAACCCUGCUGACACCUUGAUUCCAGACUCCUGGCCUCAGCUAUGACAGAAUACAUUCCUGUUGUUGUAAGUCACCCAAUAUGUGGCGCACUGUUACAGCAGCCUGAGGAACUGAAUACAGCCACCACCAGCCUGAGCCAAAAGCCGAGUUCAUCUUCCCUCCUGCUUGAUCCUGUGACUUCAAUCCCAGGGGUCUCUCUGCGCUGGCCUCUUCUCUCCAUUGCACUGGCUAGGCUGAGCCCUCAUCAGUGCUUGCCUGGACUAUUGGCGGUGGCCUCCAGG